ACCCUUGUACUCAGUGGUAGAGCGUUCGACCGGUGUGCGGAAUGUCAUAGGUUCAAUUCCUGUUGGGGGAA
Non-coding RNA from Desmophyllum pertusum, 71 nucleotides. The record is from the annotation of a GenBank genome assembly. Lineage: Eukaryota; Metazoa; Cnidaria; Anthozoa; Scleractinia; Caryophylliidae.